UGCCCUAGUAACGGCGAGUGAAGCGGCAACAGCUCAAAUUUGAAAUCUGGCGUCUUCGGCGUCCGAGUUGUAAUUUGCAGAGGGCGCUUUGGCAUUGGCAGCGGUCCAAGUUCCUUGGAACAGGACGUCACAGAGGGUGAGAAUCCCGUACGUGGUCGCUAGCCUUUACCGUGUAAAGCCCCUUCGACGAGUCGAGUUGUUUGGGAAUGCAGCUCUAAAUGGGAGGUAAAUUUCUUCUAAAGCUAAAUACUGGCCAGAGACCGAUAGCGCACAAGUAGAGUGAUCGAAAGAUGAAAAGCACUUUGGAAAGAGAGUUAAAAAGCACGUGAAAUUGUUGAAAGGGAAGCGCUUGCAGCCAGACUUGCCUGUAGUUGCUCAUCUAGGUUUCUACCUAGUGCACUCUUCUAUAGGCAGGCCAGCAUCAGUUUGGGCGGUUGGAUAAAGGUCUCUGUCAUGUACCUCUCUUCGGGGAGAACUUAUAGGGGAGACGACAUGCAACCAGCCUGGACUGAGGUCCGCGUAUCUGCUAGGAUGCUGGCGUAAUGGCUGUAAGCGGCCCGUCUUGAAACACGGACCAAGGAGUCUAACAUCUAUGCGAGUGUUUGGGUGUCAAGCCCGAACGCGUAAUGAAAGUGAACGGAGGUGGGAACCUUUCGGGGUGCACCAUCGACCGAUCCUGAUGUCUUCGGAUGGAUUUGAGUAAGAGCAUAGCUGUUGGGACCCGAAAGAUGGUGAACUAUGCUUGAAUAGGGUGAAGCCAGAGGAAACUCUGGUGGAGGCUCGCAGCGGUUCUGACGUGCAAAUC
RNAcentral lists this ribosomal RNA (805 nucleotides) under Didymella baileyae. RNAcentral describes it as "Didymella sp. MG-2021a partial large subunit ribosomal RNA". It matches the Rfam family "Eukaryotic large subunit ribosomal RNA", at positions 76 to 899 of the family's 3401-position model. Lineage: Eukaryota; Fungi; Ascomycota; Dothideomycetes; Pleosporales; Didymellaceae. The record is from RNAcentral.